Molecule: long non-coding RNA, 1920 nt
Organism: Oncorhynchus nerka (sockeye salmon)
Lineage: Eukaryota; Metazoa; Chordata; Actinopteri; Salmoniformes; Salmonidae
Exons: 3
Source: RefSeq, a predicted model, not a curated record
AGGGGCUUCCCACAGAAGGAUAUUCCUGUACACCCAAGGUGUGUGUGUGUGCGUGUGCAUGUGUAUUUGAGAGGGGACCCAAACACAGCAGCCUCUCCCGGCAAGCAGCACUACAGAGACCGAAAGAAAGAGGGCAAAAAGAGGGAGACAGAAAUUGGGCAGUUCCUAAGCCUGUAGAGGAGUAGCCAGGACUCACAGACACUUGCAAAGUCAACUUGAGGCAGAGGUACACAGUAGGAGCUGAACCGAGAACUGGCAUCAACAUCAUCACUGUCAUCAACAUCACAGAGAACUGUCAUCAACCAUCAACAGCAGGCCAGAGAGUCAGAAUGGAAGGCUACAGGUCCAUUCAGCAGGAGAUCAUUUCUCUCAAAGUUUCCAUGGUCCUGCCUAUGAAAGACAAUGAUCCUGAAAUCAAUGGUGGCAUCUGAUGAAGAUGAACCCGCAGUAAGGGAUGUGAAGACUGCUAUCAGAGUUGACCUCAAGUCCCUGCUGCACCUGGAUGCUGCUCCCUCGUCUGAGAGUCUACAAUGAACUCACAGAGGAGAUAGUGACCAAUAUACAACAGGGUCAAUCCACAGAUACCGCAGGAGCCAACCCCUCUCCAGAGAUGGCAGACGACGGGGGUUCUCCUCCAGAAAAUAAGUCUGCCAUGGCUGAGCUUUUUUGGGGGAGUUGUUCACGACCCAGGAGCAGGGAACCAAGGACGACCCAGGAGCAGGGAACCAAGUCAAAGGUCAAGGUCAUAGAGGAGGAGGUGACCUCAUACAGGGAAGUGGACUGUAUUCCCCAGGAUGCUGAUCCACUUACAUGGUGGAAGACUAAAGGGUUAGUAUACCCUCAUGUUGCCAUGUGAGCAAGGCGCUACCUGGCUGUGUCUGGGACCUCUGUCCCUAGCGAGAGGGUUUCCUCCACAGCGGCUGACAUUGUUACAGCAAGCAUUAUCUGUGCUCACUGCAGAUAAUGUGGAUAGACUCAUCUUUAAGAAAAACUUGAAAAUCUGAUAAAAAUAUAUAUUAUUAUUAUAAUUAACUAGUCUCAAGUGGUCCUAUUUUGUUUAGGGCACUGCUAUGUGACUCAAUAUUUCAAUAUGUUGCUGGACUAUACACUCUUUUGUUGUUUUUUAAAUUACAAUUUUAUUGUUUUAUGUUAUAAGGCAGGCACUGCUGUUUUUGAUGUCCCUUUGUUUCCAUAUGCUCCUGGGAACUCAAGCUACCCAUGUUUACUAUUAUAAUAAAUGGAAAAUCUAAAUACAAAUGACAUAUUUCUCAGGCGUUUAUUUUGUCGAUGUAUCGAAACCGUACCGAACCGUGACACCACUGUUCCGUAUCGUACCAAACCGUGACACCACUGUUCCGUAUCGUACCGAACCGUGACACCACUGUUCCGUAUCGUACCGAACCGUGACACCACUGUACCGUAUCGUACCGAACCGUGACACCACUGUUCCGUAUCGUACCGAACCGUGACACCACUGUACCGUAUCGUACCGAACCGUGACACCACUGUUCCGUAUCGUACCGAACCGUGACACCACUCUACCGUAUCGUACCGAACCGUGACACCACUGUUCCGUAUCGUACCGAACCGUGACACCACUCUACCGUAUCGUACCGAACCGUGACACCACUGUACCGUAUCAUACCGAACCGUGAAUUUUGUGAACCGUUUCACCCCCACUUGAUGGGCAUUGACUAAUAACAAUUGAGAUAUCUGAGAGAGACAUGUGAGUGAGAGGUGCUUUGGAGCAUGGUGAUUGGCAGCCAAGAGAAGGGAAUUAUAAUUAUUAUAUUCAGCUCGAGGGCACAACGGCCAGAUUUUGUUUAGGGGGCAUUACGGCAACUCAAGGGGCCAUGGCGUCACACAAGGGGUUUCUUGCAGUGCCUGCUACUGCCUUGCGCAGUAUAUUGUAUUGUUUAU